Molecule: ribosomal RNA, 381 nt
Filed under: Chaetozone sp. MB4
Lineage: Eukaryota; Metazoa; Annelida; Polychaeta; Terebellida; Cirratulidae
Description: partial 16S ribosomal RNA
Rfam family: Bacterial large subunit ribosomal RNA
Source: RNAcentral
CGUGCUAAGGUAGCGCAAUCCCUUGCCCUUUAAUUGUGGGCCAGUAUGAAUGGACCCACGAAAGCAAAGCUGUCUCUGUAGGGCACAUAAAAAUUACCGUUUAGGUGAAAAGGCCUAAAUUUCAUAAAAAGACAAAAAGACCCUGUAGAGCUUAACUUAUAAAACGACUUAAACCUAAAGUAAUUUACAUCCCGCCCCGUUAAAAAGUUUUGUUGGGGCGACAAAGGACUACCCAAAACGUCCUUUAACUAUUUCGACCCUUCGUCCUCUAAUGACCCACACAACUGCUCAAAAAACAUAGCUACCUCAGGGAUAACAGACCAAUCCCCCUCGCAAGUUCAAAUCAACAGGGGUGUUUGGCACCUCGAUGUUGGCUUAGGA